UUAAUAAGCUUAAAUAAG
Molecule: transfer RNA, 18 nt
Filed under: Phlebotomus mascittii
Lineage: Eukaryota; Metazoa; Arthropoda; Insecta; Diptera; Psychodidae
Description: partial tRNA-Ser
Source: RNAcentral